GACGAACGCUGGCGGCGUGCCUAAUACAUGCAAGUUGAGCGCUGACGGUUGGUGCUUUUGCCCACUGGGUGAGCAGCGAACGGGUGAGUAACGCGUGGGUAAUCUGCCUUUUAGCGGGGGACAACAUUUGGAAACGAAUGCUAAUACCGCAUAAUACCUUUAAACACAAGAUUUAAGUGUGAAAGAUGCAAUUGCCUCACUCAAAGAUGAUCCCGAGGUGUAUUAGCUAGUUGGUGAGGGAAAGGCUCACCAAGGCGAAGAUACAUAGCCGGGCUGAGAGGGAGGACGGCCCACAUUGGAAUGAGACACGGCCCAAAAUCCUAAGGGAGGCCGCAGGAGGGGAUCUUUGGACAUGGACGAAAGGCUGAACGAGCAAAGCCGCGGGAGUGAAGAAGGGUGUCGGAUCGUAAAACUCUGUUGGUAGGGAAGAACGAGGGUGAGAGUGGAAAGCUCAUGAAGUGACGGUAACUAAACAGAAAGGGACGGCUAACUACGUG
RNAcentral lists this ribosomal RNA (497 nucleotides) under uncultured bacterium. RNAcentral describes it as "partial 16S ribosomal RNA". It matches the Rfam family "Bacterial small subunit ribosomal RNA", at positions 28 to 507 of the family's 1533-position model. The record is from RNAcentral.